UACGUAGGGGGCAAGCGUUAUCCGGAUUUACUGGGUGUAAAGGGAGCGUAGACGGCAUGGCAAGUCAGAUGUGAAAGCCCGGGGCUCAACCCCGGGACUGCAUUUGAAACUGUCAGGCUGGAGUGCAGGAGAGGUAAGCGGAAUUCCUAGUGUAGCGGUGAAAUGCGUAGAUAUUAGGAGGAACACCAGUGGCGAAGGCGGCUUACUGGACUGUAACUGACGUUGAGGCUCGAAGGCGUGGGGAGCAAACAGG
Molecule: ribosomal RNA, 253 nt
Filed under: uncultured bacterium
Lineage: Bacteria
Description: partial 16S ribosomal RNA
Rfam family: Bacterial small subunit ribosomal RNA
Source: RNAcentral